RNAcentral lists this ribosomal RNA (533 nucleotides) under uncultured bacterium. RNAcentral's name for it is "partial 16S ribosomal RNA". It matches the Rfam family "Bacterial small subunit ribosomal RNA", at positions 39 to 535 of the family's 1533-position model. The record is from RNAcentral.
GAUGAACGCUGGCGGCGUGCCUAAUACAUGCAAGUCGAGCGAACAGACGAGGAGCUUGCUCCUCUGACGUUAGCGGCGGACGGGUGAGUAACACGUGGAUAACCUACCUAUAAGACUGGGAUAACUUCGGGAAACCGGAGCUAAUACCGGAUAAUAUAUUGAACCGCAUGGUUCAAUAGUGAAAGACGGUUUUGCUGUCACUUAUAGAUGGAUCCGCGCCGCAUUAGCUAGUUGGUAAGGUAACGGCUUACCAAGGCAACGAUGCGUAGCCGACCUGAGAGGGGGAUCGGCCGCGGUGGAACUGACCCGCGGCCCGGCCUCCGAUGGGGCGUAGCGGUAGGCAAUCUGCUGCGAGGGGGGAACACCUGCGGAGACGUCGCGGGUGGAGUGAUGACGGUCUUCGGGUGGAAAACCUCUGUUAGUAGUGAAGAACAAUGUUUGGAUGUGUUAUGCGCGUCUGGCCGGGACCCAAGCAGAACGCGACGGCUAACUCCGGCCCAGGGGGCGGAAUGGCGGACGGGCCCCUUCCGACC